AUUGAACGCUGGCGGCAGGCUUAACACAUGCAAGUCGAACGGUAACAUAAAGAAGCUUGCUCCUUUGAUGACGAGUGGCGGACGGGUGAGUAAUGCUUGGGAAUCUAGCUUAUGGAGGGGGAUAACUACGGGAAACUGUAGCUAAUACCGCGUAGAAUCGAGAGAUGAAAGUGUGGGACCUUCGGGCCACAUGCCAUAGGAUGAGCCCAAGUGGGAUUAGGUAGUUGGUGAGGUAAAGGCUCACCAAGCCGACGAUCUCUAGCUGGUCUGAGAGGAUGACCAGCCACACUGGGACUGAGACACGGCCCAGACUCCUACGGGAGGCAGCAGUGGGGAAUAUUGCGCAAUGGGGGCAACCCUGACGCAGCCAUGCCGCGUGAAUGAAGAAGGCCUUCGGGUUGUAAAGUUCUUUCGGUAGCGAGGAAGGCAUUUAGUUUAAUAGACUAGGUGAUUGAC
Molecule: ribosomal RNA, 456 nt
Filed under: Terrahaemophilus aromaticivorans
Lineage: Bacteria; Pseudomonadati; Pseudomonadota; Gammaproteobacteria; Pasteurellales; Pasteurellaceae
Description: bacterial SSU rRNA
Rfam family: Bacterial small subunit ribosomal RNA
Source: RNAcentral